CUCAGUGAGUGAAGAGGGUAAUCAAUAGGGCAACAAGGAAGGAGGGCAAGUAGCCUGCAGUUCCGCGCUCCAUGGAAAGCCCUGUUUCUUGCUGAGGUCUUGCAGUUUCCUGGAUCAUGCAACUCACCAGCAGUAGAUCAAGGAAAAGAGAUGGAUGGGGUUUUCCUCAGGAAGACCUUGUCUGGAAUCUAGUAUUGAAGCUGUGCUUGAUGAGUUGCUGCCUUGAACUUUUCCACUGAUCAAUGCUGGUGCUAUGGCUGCAUGAAAGAAUAGCUUUCCUGAGGAGAAGCUAUCACAUGGGAAACACACUACACAGAGAGCCACAAGCGUGGUGAAGGUUUAAAGACUUUUGAGCAUCGCUGGGAGCAUCACAUGAACUUCAGCGCUGACACUCACCCUCAGGGGGCAAAGCUCGGCGGCGAGCGCCCAUCGGACGCCGGCGGCGGCGGCGGCGCGGCGG
Molecule: non-coding RNA, 460 nt
Organism: Struthio camelus australis
Lineage: Eukaryota; Metazoa; Chordata; Aves; Struthioniformes; Struthionidae
Source: RefSeq, a predicted model, not a curated record